RNAcentral lists this ribosomal RNA (481 nucleotides) under uncultured bacterium. Its description in RNAcentral is "bacterial SSU rRNA". It matches the Rfam family "Bacterial small subunit ribosomal RNA", at positions 30 to 507 of the family's 1533-position model. The record is from RNAcentral.
AUUGAACGCUGGCGGCAUGCCUUACACAUGCAAGUCGAACGGUAACGGGCCUUCGGGUGCCGACGAGUGGCGAACGGGUGAGUAAUGUAUCGGAACGUACCUUCAGUGGGGGAUAACGUAGCGAAAGUUACGCUAAUACCGCAUAUUCUGUGAGCAGGAAAGCAGGGGAUCGCAAGACCUUGCGCUGAUUGAGCGGCCGAUAUCAGAUUAGCUAGUUGGUGAGGUAAAGGCUCACCAAGGCGACGAUCUGUAGCGGGUCUGAGAGGAUGAUCCGCCACACUGGAACUGAGACACGGUCCAGACUCCUACGGGAGGCAGCAGUGGGGAAUUUUGGACAAUGGGGGCAACCCUGAUCCAGCCAUGCCGCGUGAGUGAAGAAGGCCUUCGGGUUGUAAAGCUCUUUCGGCCGGGAAGAAAUCGUAUGGGUUAAUACCCUGUGCGGAUGACGGUACCGGCAUAAGAAGCACCGGCUAACUACGUG